GAUGAACGCUGGCGGCGUGCCUAAUACAUGCAAGUCGAGCGAACGGACGAGAAGCUUGCUUCUCUGAUGUUAGCGGCGGACGGGUGAGUAACACGUGGAUAACCUACCUAUAAGACUGGGAUAACUUCGGGAAACCGUAGCUAAUACCGGAUAAUAUUUUGAACCGCAUGGUUCAAAAGUGAAAGACGGUCUUGCUGUCACUUAUAGAUGGAUCCGCGCUGCAUUAGCUAGUUGGUAAGGUAACGGCUUACCAAGGCAACGAUGCAUAGCCGACCUGAGAGGGUGAUCGGCCACACUGGAACUGAGGCACGGUCCAGACGCCUACGGGAGGCAGCAGUAGGGAAUCUUCCGCAAUGGGCGAAAGCCUGACGGAGCAACGCCGCGUGAGUGAUGAAGGUCUUCGGAUCGUAAAACUCUGUUAUUAGGGAAGAACAUAUGUGUAAGUAACUGUGCACAUCUUGACGGUACCUAAUCAGAAAGCCACGGCUAACUACGU
RNAcentral lists this ribosomal RNA (496 nucleotides) under uncultured bacterium. RNAcentral's name for it is "partial 16S ribosomal RNA". It matches the Rfam family "Bacterial small subunit ribosomal RNA", at positions 28 to 506 of the family's 1533-position model. The record is from RNAcentral.